UACGGGAGGCAGCAGUGGGGAAUAUUGCACAAUGGGCGCAAGCCUGAUGCAGCCAUGCCGCGUGUAUGAAGAAGGCCUUCGGGUUGUAAAGUACUUUCAGUCGUGAGGAAGGUGUUAAGGUUAAUAACCUUAGCAAUUGACGUUAGCGACAGAAGAAGCACCGGCUAACUCCGUGCCAGCAGCCGCGGUAAUACGGAGGUGCGAGCGUUAAUCGGAAUUACUGGGCGUAAAGGGCACGCAGGCGGUUAAUUAAGUUGGAUGUGAAAUCCCCGGGCUUAACCUGGGAAUGGCAUUCAAGACUGGUUAGCUAGAGUCUUGUAGAGGGGGUAGAAUUCCAUGUGUAGCGGUGAAAUGCGUAGAGAUGUGGAGGAAUACCGGUGGCGAAGGCGGCCCCUGGACAAAGACUGACGCUCAUGUGCGAAAGCGUGGGGAGCGAAAC
This 439-nucleotide ribosomal RNA is filed under the name uncultured bacterium. RNAcentral's name for it is "bacterial SSU rRNA". It matches the Rfam family "Bacterial small subunit ribosomal RNA", at positions 340 to 774 of the family's 1533-position model. The record is from RNAcentral.